Molecule: ribosomal RNA, 253 nt
Filed under: uncultured bacterium
Lineage: Bacteria
Description: partial 16S ribosomal RNA
Rfam family: Bacterial small subunit ribosomal RNA
Source: RNAcentral
GACGUAGGGCGCGAGCGUUGUCCGGAUUUAUUGGGCGUAAAGAGCUCGUAGGCGGCUUGUCGCGUCGAAUGUGAAAACCUGCAGCUCAACUGCAGGCUUGCAUUCGAUACGGGCAGGCUCGAGUUCGGUAGGGGAGACUGGAAUUCCUGGUGUAGCGGUGAAAUGCGCAGAUAUCAGGAGGAACACCAAUAGCGAAGGCAGCUCGCUGGGACGUUACUGACACUGAGGCGCGAAAGCGUGGGGAGCGAACAGG